GAACAAGGGAUGAUAGAACAAGCUAUCUUUAAUUGAAUGAACUUUUUGUUUCCAUUCGAGUUUAUUCGUUUUUCUGUUUUCUUUGUUUGAAAUGAUUGAAAAUGUUGAAAGUGAAAAUUACUCAUCGACAGGCCAAUAUAAAGGACGGAGAUUUAUGUGGAGCAUUUUGGCCGACAUAAUUAAAUCCGACGGUCCAGGUAGUGCAUCAGCCACCAUCGGCAUGUGGACGGACAAUUAUGUUAAGCGAAAUAAAAAUCAAAAAGUCCAUAAUUGAUUCGGUGUUAGGCAUGAAAUCAAUGGAUUUCGAGUAGUUCACCAGCGUAAACUUUUUAAAGAAGCUUAUAUGCAUUGGCAAUGAAUUUGGCUGGUAUUAUGUUCGUUUUUCACCGUUGAAACCCCCGUUAUUCCGCGAUUACCUUAAGCCAUAAAACCAAAUAAAAUUAAAGUUUUUUUGUUUUCUAAA
Long non-coding RNA from Stomoxys calcitrans (stable fly), 463 nucleotides. RefSeq lists it as uncharacterized. Lineage: Eukaryota; Metazoa; Arthropoda; Insecta; Diptera; Muscidae. The transcript has 2 exons. The record is from RefSeq and is a predicted model, not a curated record.